RNAcentral lists this long non-coding RNA (416 nucleotides) under Brassica napus (rape). RNAcentral describes it as "long non-coding RNA (BNAP_LNC019781)". Lineage: Eukaryota; Viridiplantae; Streptophyta; Magnoliopsida; Brassicales; Brassicaceae. The record is from RNAcentral.
UGAGUUCUCGGUAAGUUUUUAUAAUUUUCUGAUUGUAAACGAUCCGGGUUAACGAUCAGGGUUUCUUUAUCUAAAUAUCUGAUUCUUACUCAUAUUGAUAGAUCUCUUAGAUCUAGCUCUAGAUCGAUCAUCAUUAUUAUCUUCUUACUCAGUUUUUGUUUCUAUUAAUUUGUCUUGCUCGCGGUAAGCUGACAGAGGAACUUGGUAUUUUAUUAGGUAAUUGGCAAGGAUUGUUUAAACGAUGGAUCUUUAAAAAGACAAAAGCAGAGAUUUAAAAAAGUAGAAGACAAACUUGACAGAGAUUUAAAAAAGUUAAGUCUGACCUUAGAUAUAAUCAUAUUACAUAUGUUCACAUCAACACAGUUUUUAUUUAUUCUCUUGUUGAUCUUUUGCUAUGUUUUCGUUUCUAUUAUUUC